This 70-nucleotide transfer RNA is filed under the name Scolytinae sp. BMNH 1039996. RNAcentral's name for it is "tRNA-Tyr". It matches the Rfam family "tRNA". From Rfam's summary of the family: Transfer RNA (tRNA) molecules are approximately 80 nucleotides in length. Their secondary structure includes four short double-helical elements and three loops (D, anti-codon, and T loops). Further hydrogen bonds mediate the characteristic L-shaped molecular structure. tRNAs have two regions of fundamental functional importance: the anti-codon, which is responsible for specific mRNA codon recognition, and the 3' end, to which the tRNAs corresponding amino acid is attached (by aminoacyl-tRNA synthetases). tRNAs cope with the degeneracy of the genetic code in two manners: having more than one tRNA (with a specific anti-codon) for a particular amino acid; and 'wobble' base-pairing, i.e. permitting non-standard base-pairing at the 3rd anti-codon position. Lineage: Eukaryota; Metazoa; Arthropoda; Insecta; Coleoptera; Curculionidae. The record is from RNAcentral.
GAUAAAAUGGCUGAGUGAAUUAAGCGAUAAAUUGUAAAUUUAUAAACAAAGUUGUAAACUUUUUUUAUCA